GACGAACGCUGGCGGCGUGCUUAACACAUGCAAGUCGAACGGUAAGGCUCCAGCUUGCUGGGGUACACGAGUGGCGAACGGGUGAGUAACACGUGGGUGACCUGCCCUGCACUUCGGGAUAAGCCUGGGAAACUGGGUCUAAUACCGGAUAGGACCGCACCGUGAGGGGGGGGUGGAAAGUUUUUUCGGUGUGGGAUGGGCCCGCGGCCUAUCAGCUUGUUGGUGGGGUAAUGGCCUACCAAGGCGGCGACGGGUAGCCGGCCUGAGAGGGUGGACGGCCACAUUGGGACUGAGACACGGCCCAGACUCCUACGGGAGGCAGCAGUGGGGAAUAUUGCACAAUGGGCGGAAGCCUGAUGCAGCGACGCCGCGUGGGGGAUGACGGCCUUCGGGUUGUAAACUCCUUUCACCAUCGACGAAGGGUUUCUGACGGUAGAUGGAGAAGAAGCACCGGCUAACUACGUG
Molecule: ribosomal RNA, 465 nt
Filed under: uncultured bacterium
Lineage: Bacteria
Description: partial 16S ribosomal RNA
Rfam family: Bacterial small subunit ribosomal RNA
Source: RNAcentral